UACGGAGGGGGCAAGCGUUGUUCGGAAUUACUGGGCGUAAAGGGCGCGCAGGCGGCUGCUCAAGUCAGGCGUGAAAGGCCUGGGCUCAACCCGGGAACUGCAUUUGUGACUGCAUAGCUAGAGUACGGUAGAGGGGGAUGGAAUUCCGCGUGUAGCAGUGAAAUGCGUAGAUAUGCGGAGGAACACCGAUGGCGAAGGCAAUCCCCUGGACCUGUACUGACGCUCAUGCACGAAAGCGUGGGGAGCAAACAGG
This 253-nucleotide ribosomal RNA is filed under the name uncultured bacterium. Its description in RNAcentral is "partial 16S ribosomal RNA". It matches the Rfam family "Bacterial small subunit ribosomal RNA", at positions 524 to 776 of the family's 1533-position model. The record is from RNAcentral.